ACAAAAGCCUCACAAAUUUAGACAGAAAAGACAAAGGAAUCAAAACAGCACGCACGCACGCACUUUUACAGUAUCUUCUCUUUUCAGUUCUCCACUUCACUUCUUUUUUCAAUUGCCUCACCUCCUCCCUUCCACGGCGGCGUUUAUCUCUCAUAGUUUCAACUGAAUCUGAACAGCCAUGUCAAUGUCUAUUCUGCAGCCAAAUUUCCAACAGUGCCCCUCCUCCUCCGCCUCCUUCACUUCCUCCACAUCUCUCUGCCCUUCCUUUUCGUCAUUUCGCAUAAUCACUCUAAAACCAUCAAUAUCACAUCUCAAACAGCAGCAGCGAGUUGUGUGUGGCGUAUCGCAAUCUCAAGUAUCAGUUGUUAAUGGCACAAUUGAUAACAAAGUCUCUGAGAGAAAUGAAAUCCGUCUCGGUUUGCCUAGUAAAGGCCGCAUGGCUUCCGAUACUCUCGAUCUCCUCAAGGAUUGUCAAUUGUCUGUCAAGCAGGUCAAUCCACGACAAUAUGUUGCACAAAUUCCACAGCUCUCCAACUUAGAAGUGUGGUUCCAGCGACCCAAAGACAUUGUACGGAAGUUGUUAUCUGGAGAUUUGGACCUUGGAAUUGUGGGUUUUGAUACAGUCAGUGAAUAUGGGCAGGGAAAUGAAGAUCUUAUCCUUGUUCAUGAUGCUCUUGAGUAUGGGGAUUGCCGUUUAUCUAUUGCAAUUCCCAAAUAUGGGGUUUUUGAAAAUAUAAAUUCCUUGAGGGAGCUAGCACAAAUGCCACGAUGGACUGCUGAAAAACCACUGCGAGUUGCAACAGGCUUCACUUACCUGGGUCCUAAAUUUAUGAAAGAAAAUGGUUUGGAGCAUGUAACAUUUUCAACUGCUGAUGGAGCACUGGAAGCUGCUCCUGCGAUGGGAAUAGCUGAUGCCAUUUUGGACCUUGUGAGUAGUGGGACAACACUGAGAGAAAACAAUCUUAAAGAAAUUGAAGGUGGGGUUGUAUUGCAGAGCCAGGCUAUUCUUGUUGCAAGCAGGAAGUCUUUGAUGCAAAGAAAAGGUGCCUUGGACACAGUACAUGAGAUUCUUGAAAGGUUGGAAGCACAUUUAAGGGCAGUUGGUCAGUUCACGGUUACUGCAAAUAUGAGAGGAAGUAGUGCAGCGGAAGUGGCUGAGCGUGUACUAAGCCAACCAUCGUUGUCUGGAUUGCAGGGGCCUACUGUAAGUCCAGUUUUCUGCAAGCGCGAUGGAAAGGUUACACCAGAUUACUAUGCCAUAGUCAUAUGUGUUCCAAAGAAGGCAUUGUACAAGUCCGUUCAGCAAUUGAGAGCAAUUGGAGGCAGUGGGGUUCUAGUUUCUCCUUUAACCUACAUUUUCGAUGAAGAGACGCCAAGAUGGCGCCAGCUUCUUUCAAAGCUUGGGCUGUAGAUCUCUGCGGUCAAUGAUGAUUGCUUCUCUUUAUGAACGUAUUGCUUCUUGAAAUACUUAGAUUGUUCUCAGGUACAUCUUCAACAUAGCACAGAAAGAAGCAGGUUUAAAAUUUUCUAAGAUGAGAAAGUGAAACCCUAGAAUUAUGCAAAUUCAUGUAAUGUGUGGCUGAGAUUGCGACUGUUCCUGAUGACGGUGGGUUGGAGAUAUGAUUUAUGGCCACAUGUAGAUCACAUGACCAACUAGUUGUAGAUGGAGCUUGGUGACUUGGAGCUGAGGUGGCAAGCAGCUCAAUAAUUUUUAUUUAAAUUUGUGGACAUAACAGAGAUGGAAAAAGAAUAUAUAUAUAUAUUCGGAAUAUGCUUUGCUAUAAAUAUUGUUGUCGCACUUGUAAAAGAUAAAAGACAUUAUUUAGACUCCAUAACAAUACUUGUGUAAAAAAAUUUAAAAACCUAAUUUUCAGAAUUGAUUUAUGGAUGGCACUUUGGAGGAAUAAUUAAAUAA
RNA transcript from Ricinus communis (castor bean), 1915 nucleotides. It is a transcript of the gene named ATP phosphoribosyltransferase 2, chloroplastic, with no coding region annotated. The record is from RefSeq and is a predicted model, not a curated record. The transcript is spliced from 12 exons. NCBI's taxonomy places the organism in Eukaryota, Viridiplantae, Streptophyta, Magnoliopsida, Malpighiales, Euphorbiaceae.